Molecule: ribosomal RNA, 450 nt
Filed under: uncultured bacterium
Lineage: Bacteria
Description: partial 16S ribosomal RNA
Rfam family: Bacterial small subunit ribosomal RNA
Source: RNAcentral
GUGGGGAAUCUUCCACAAUGAACGAAAGUCUGAUGGAGCAACGCCGCGUGAGUGAAGAAGGGUUUCGGCUCGUAAAGCUCUGUUGUCGGGGACGAAUGUGCAGUAUUUGAAUAAAGUACUGCAAUGACGGUACCUGACGAGGAAGCCACGGCUAACUACGUGCCAGCAGCCGCGGUAAUACGUAGGUGGCAAGCGUUGUCCGGAAUUAUUGGGCGUAAAGGGAGCGCAGGCGGGAAGGUAAGUCGGUCUUAAAAGUGCGGGGCUCAACCCCGUGAUGGGAUCGAAACUAUCUUUCUUGAGUGCAGGAGAGGAAAGUGGAAUUCCUAGUGUAGCGGUGAAAUGCGUAGAUAUUAGGAGGAACACCAGUGGCGAAGGCGACUUUCUGGACUGUAACUGACGCUGAGGCUCGAAAGCCAGGGGAGCGAACGGGAUUAGAAACCCGGGUAGUCC